RNAcentral lists this transfer RNA (82 nucleotides) under Saccharomyces cerevisiae R103. RNAcentral describes it as "tRNA-Cys". It matches the Rfam family "tRNA". Rfam says of the family: Transfer RNA (tRNA) molecules are approximately 80 nucleotides in length. Their secondary structure includes four short double-helical elements and three loops (D, anti-codon, and T loops). Lineage: Eukaryota; Fungi; Ascomycota; Saccharomycetes; Saccharomycetales; Saccharomycetaceae. The record is from RNAcentral.
GCUCGUAUGGCGCAGUGGUAGCGCAGCAGAUUGCAGCAGAUUGCAAAUCUGUUGGUCCUUAGUUCGAUCCUGAGUGCGAGCU